This 330-nucleotide unclassified non-coding RNA is filed under the name soil metagenome. Its description in RNAcentral is "partial contains 5.8S ribosomal RNA, internal transcribed spacer 2, and large subunit ribosomal RNA". The stretch from base 1 to 120 matches the Rfam family "5.8S ribosomal RNA", at positions 35 to 154 of the family's 154-position model. The record is from RNAcentral.
GAUGAAGAACGCAGCGAAAUGCGAUAAGUAAUGUGAAUUGCAGAAUUCAGUGAAUCAUCGAAUCUUUGAACGCACAUUGCGCCCUCUGGUAUUCCGGGGGGCAUGCCUGUUCGAGCGUCAUUACAACCCUCAAGCUCUGCUUGGUAUUGGGCUCUGCCGGUCCUGGCAGGCCUCAAAGUCAGUGGCGGUGCCAUCCGGCUCCAAGCGUAGUAAUUCUCCUCGCUUCGGAGGCCGCGGUGCGUGCUAGCCAGCAACCCCCAAUUUUUUUCAGGUUGACCUCGGAUCAGGUAGGGAUACCCGCUGAACUUAAGCAUAUCAAUAAGCGGAGGA